CCUACGGGAGGCAGCAGUGAGGAAUAUUGGUCAAUGGGCGAGAGCCUGAACCAGCCAAGUCGCGUGAAGGAUGAAGGAUCUAUGGUUUGUAAACUUCUUUUAUAUGGGAAUAAAACGAGGCACGUGUGCCUUUUUGCAUGUACUUUAUGAAUAAGGAUCGGCUAACUCCGUGCCAGCAGCCGCGGUAAUACGGAGGAUCCGAGCGUUAUCCGGAUUUAUUGGGUUUAAAGGGAGCGUAGAUGGGUUGUUAAGUCAGUUGUGAAAGUUUGCGGCUCAACCGUAAAAUUGCAAUUGAUACUGGCAGUCUUGAGUACAGUUGAGGUAGGCGGAAUUCGUGGUGUAGCGGUGAAAUGCUUAGAUAUCACGAAGAACCCCGAUUGCGAAGGCAGCUUACUAAACUGUGACUGACAUUGAUGCUCGAAAGUGUGGGUAUCAAACAGGAUUAGAUACCCGGGUAGUC
RNAcentral lists this ribosomal RNA (460 nucleotides) under uncultured bacterium. RNAcentral's name for it is "partial 16S ribosomal RNA". It matches the Rfam family "Bacterial small subunit ribosomal RNA", at positions 338 to 795 of the family's 1533-position model. The record is from RNAcentral.